UGGCGGGUGAGCGGGCGGGCGGCAUUCUGAGCAGGGCUGAGCAACUCAAAAAGAACACAGAAGUAAGCGUCUCACUCGAUCUCUUUGGAAGUAGAUGGGAAUUCCGAUGAUCACUUCGGCGAUAAGGAUGAGCAGCACACAGUGUCUGAGAUCCAAGUGGAUGUAACUGCUCACCAGACGGAGAAGACAACGGAUCUCGUAGAUAGCUCCGAUGCAGCCAAGGAAGCCCAGGGCUAUUGACAAGGACCCCACUCCAAUGAAGAUGUAGGAAGACACUUUCGCCUGACGAGCUGCCGAUUCUUCUGUAGAAAAGAAAAAAACAAUAGUUGAUAUGAGACUUGAGGGGAAAAAAGAACCGAAACUGCAUUGGACAUUUUUGGGAGAUAAGAAACCACGCGGUUUCUUAAUAAACUCCGCUCUUCUUCUUCUGCUGUAACCACAGAAAAUGUUUCCAAAAUUAUUUCAGCUCACACGCAAACGAAUUUGAUAUGGCUAGUCACAGUGAACCAAAAAAAUAACAAGGCUCCUUAAAGCAAACAGAAUGAAAUACUUUUUCCCCAAAAAAGCAUUUCUCGAACAUUAUCAGCUAGCUAGAGUUGAAGCGAGACAAGUAAAAUAUGUGGCGAGAUUAACUGAUUGCCUGCCCUCUCUGGAACAGUUGGGGGGAAUGCAAUGGUAGAUUGGAAGUUUCCAGAGGAGAUCAAUCACAAGUCACUAUGUUGCCAUGUGUUAUCUGUGUUGAAAACCAACCAUAACAAAAAAUCUGAAAAUGAGAGCCGUGGAAUAUUUCCAAGGUGGAAUAAACUGGCCAGAAUCAGAUCAUUCACUCCACACCGUUGCCAAGAGCCUGGCCUGGCAGCUGCUGCAGCUCAUCCACGGCUGCGCAUUGUCGCUUCUUGGCAACCAACCACAUAUACUUAAUCGUGCGCUGAUGCUUUACAUGGUUGUGUGCUCAUCUCAUUAGGCCAGACAUGAUGAAAAUAUCCAUCAUACUCUAAACCAGUCAUACGAGAAUACUGUACUACCAAUGUCUUUUUGCCUGCAGUUAUGGAAGCAACCUCUAUUUAUAUAGCGUAUAAUAAUAAAUGGAAACUGAGGAUAAAGUUCAUGUCUAACAAUGGUGCAACUUCAGAGAAUACUGCGAAUCAAUAAACAUAGCUUCACAAA
This is a long non-coding RNA of Syngnathus typhle (broad-nosed pipefish), 1167 nucleotides long. RefSeq lists it as uncharacterized. NCBI's taxonomy places the organism in Eukaryota, Metazoa, Chordata, Actinopteri, Syngnathiformes, Syngnathidae. The transcript has 2 exons. The record is from RefSeq and is a predicted model, not a curated record.